AUGAACAAUUUGGUUGGUGUGGCAGGAGAAAAGAAAUCAGGAAAUGGUGGGCAUGGCGAAUUAAUAAGGGGUGAUGGCCAUUUCCUCGCGGGAGGGAGGGAGAUCGAGCAGGGAGGUGAGGUCGAUCGGGUCGCGCGCGGUUGCCGGACGGACGGGCCAGGGCGGCCACCGCGCGCUGACCACGAAACUGCACCAAAUCUGAAGGAGUUGAAGCUAGAUUUGCCCCCAUCUCUCAUGCUACCACCACGAUGGCAAAGAAUGAAGGGUGGAAAGAUUCCUCUCAAUGAGACUGAAGACCAUCUAGCUUGGAACUAUGAGAAAAAUGGCAUCUUCACGGUUACUGAGAUGCAGUCGUCACCAGAUAGGAAUAUACAACCAAAAUAUCACUCGUCUAGACCCCAAGGAGCUUGCAUUAAACUGAACGUCGAUGCUUCUUUUGUUUCAGUUUUGGGCUCGGCGUGGGCAGGGGCGGCUGCUCGCGAUAGCGCGGGAUCGGUGGUAUUUUCUGUAGGCUGUCAUCUUCAGGCAUAUGAAUAUGCAGAGGAAGCAGAGGCAAGCGCCCUUGUGAUUGGACUCAAGUGUUUGAGAAAUGUUUACAGGGGACAGGUGUACAUUGAGUCUGACUGUGCUGCUGUUGUGAAUGCUAUGAACAUUGAAGGAAGGAACAAAGCCAAGUGGCGGGAUAAGUACGAAGAGGCUAAAAACCUGAUGCGUGACUUCAGUCUAUCUAAGGUACCGAUAACUUCAUUUGCUGAAAGAACACCUUCUGGUUCGAUAAAGCUUGGUUCUCUACUAAGAAAAUACUUAUUGAUAGGUUACUACACCCUUAUACCUGGGUGUUAUCCAACCACUCUUAAUUAUGAGAGAGCAAGCAACAUGGAACAAAGUUUGUGGCUCGACCAGAUCCGGGAUCCUCGUCGAGCCCUCUCUUCGCCGCUGUCCUUCUUCCACGAAGCUCCCUCGUGCUCCUCCGCCUCCCGCCCGUCAGCUACGUCGGCCUCGACCGACGCGAUGGCUCCUUGUCCGCUCCCCCGGCCUGCGUCCGCAUCGGCGGCGGCUGCAGCUGCCUCUCCGGCCUUGCUGCGCGUUGGCUCUGCGUCCGCGUUGGCUGCUGCUGCUCCAGCCGAGGUGAGCGCCGGCUCUGCGCCCCUGUGGGAGGCGGCGGCCGCCGCGGCCUUGCUGGGUGUCGCCUCGGCAUCCGAGCCGCCCCUGUUCGUUGUCCCGGCAUCCCAGACGACCUCAAUGCUGCUGCCGUCUGCCUUGCCCGGUGACCCGUCUGGUCCGGGCGAUGUGGUGAUGCCCGUCACAGUGCAGGGAGCUCCCAAUGCUCUGGCAGCAGCCUCCCAAUGCAGUCUGCAGCUCGUCCCAAUCACUCCACUUGCGCCGCUUCAGACGUCGACUACAUCGCCCACCGCCGCCGCUCUAGCGGCGGAUGCCCUUGCUCGGCGCAGGUCGGACCCGGCCAUUAGUGGGCUUAUGGCCGGUGCUCGUCCCAAUUGCGGUCGUGGCCUGCAGGCCACCACCCCGGCUCCUCUUGCCACCGGCCAGCUGCCGUCGUCCCCGGUGUCGACGCCUACACCCUUGACGGGGCCAGGUCAGGUGGCCGCUCCCGUGCUGUCUGGUUGGGGGGACUGGCUAGGAUGCUUCGGAAGGAAGACGACGUCCGCUGAUCCCAUGUGUUGUGCGCCAACAGCUCGUGAGGAAACAUUGGGAGACUGGCACCUCGUUACCGGCCGCCGCCGUUCGCCAUCUUCAAAUGCCUUCCGUCGGCCCGGUUCCAAUGCCCGGAUGGCUCCUCCGGCGUGGCUCCGGGAUCGAUGCUUUCGGUGUCUCUCCAAAGGUCAUCACGCUCACUCUUGCAGGGACCCAAUUCGGUGCUCAGGAUGCCUUCGUUUCGGCCACAAAGUGCGUUUUUGUCAUGCUCAGCACCGAUCCGAUCUGACUACAAAGCCGCGUGAUGAUGCUGCAAAGCCUAACCCAGCGCCUGCAUCAGAGGUUGACGCGACACCGGUUGACGUGCAAUUGCAACCCGUCCUAGCGGAGGAGACCGAGCUGCUUCGCACUGAGCUGCGCGACUGCCUUGCGCGAGUCGAGAGUGUUUUGGGGAGAGCAGAGGCUGCUCUCGCCAAACUAAAGGUUGUGCCAGCUGUGUCCUUGCUUCCUGAGCUUCAGAUCGGGUCUCCUGUUGGGGAGGAAGCAAGCCUCUAUGGACAUUUCUCCCCUCAUGCUACAUCAUGUUCGCCGAUGUCUAUACUGCUCACUGGCCCUGGGUGUGUAGUCAUCGAUGAGGUCAUGGCUCCAGUGCUGGAGAUUAUGCCUGAGUUGCAGGAGUGUUGUGGGGAGCCUACUUCACCUCUUUCAAUGGUUGGAUCAUUCUGGUCUACAAUUCACUUCAUCAGCGACGGUUGCUAUUUUGGUGUGCUGGUUCUACAAGACUUUAGCACGAUGACUUUCAAACUGUCUAUUACAACAAGGUUUUCCUGGUUCCGGUGA
This 2493-nucleotide ribosomal RNA is filed under the name Triticum aestivum (bread wheat). RNAcentral describes it as "partial small subunit ribosomal RNA". The record is from RNAcentral. Lineage: Eukaryota; Viridiplantae; Streptophyta; Magnoliopsida; Poales; Poaceae.